RNAcentral lists this ribosomal RNA (324 nucleotides) under uncultured bacterium. Its description in RNAcentral is "bacterial SSU rRNA". It matches the Rfam family "Bacterial small subunit ribosomal RNA", at positions 28 to 334 of the family's 1533-position model. The record is from RNAcentral.
GACGAACGCUGGCGGCAUGCCUAACACAUGCAAGUCGAACGGAACUUGUUGAAUGAAGUUUUCGGAUGGAUUUUGAUAAGUUUAGUGGCGGACGGGUGAGUGACGCGUGAGCAACCUGCCUUUCAGAGGGGGACAACAGUUGGAAACGACUGCUAAUACCGCAUAACGUAUCGGAACCGCAUGGCUCUGAUACCAAAGAUUAUAUCGCUGAAAGAUGGGCUCGCGUACGAUUAGAUAGUUGGUGAGGUAACGGCUCACCAAGUCGACGAUCGUUAGCCGGACUAAGAGGGUGGACGGCCACAAGGGGACUGAGAUACGGCCCUU